AUCACGAUUCUAACUGGGCGCCUCGAAGGCAAGAUGUCGGCAUAGCUGAUGCGAUUUUAAAAUUCGGCUGUGUCACAUCCAGCCAACCGAACGCUCAGAC
RNAcentral lists this microRNA precursor (100 nucleotides) under Apis mellifera (honey bee). RNAcentral describes it as "microRNA ame-mir-31a precursor". Its record names the gene ame-mir-31a. The stretch from base 16 to 97 matches the Rfam family "mir-31 microRNA precursor family". Lineage: Eukaryota; Metazoa; Arthropoda; Insecta; Hymenoptera; Apidae. The record is from miRBase by way of RNAcentral.